AUUUGCUUGACGAGUCCUAAACAGGACGAAAUGCAAAUCCUAGAU
RNAcentral lists this non-coding RNA (45 nucleotides) under Trichobilharzia regenti. The record is from RNAcentral. Lineage: Eukaryota; Metazoa; Platyhelminthes; Trematoda; Strigeidida; Schistosomatidae.